RNAcentral lists this ribosomal RNA (1454 nucleotides) under uncultured organism. RNAcentral's name for it is "16S ribosomal RNA". It matches the Rfam family "Bacterial small subunit ribosomal RNA". The record is from RNAcentral.
GACGAACGCUGGCGGCGUGCCUAAUACAUGCAAGUAGAACGCUGAAGAGAGGAGCUUGCUCUUCUUGGAUGAGUUGCGAACGGGUGAGUAACGCGUAGGUAACCUGCCUUGUAGCGGGGGAUAACUAUUGGAAACGAUAGCUAAUACCGCAUAACAAUAGGUGACACAUGUCAUUUAUUUGAAAGGGGCAAUUGCUCCACUACAAGAUGGACCUGCGUUGUAUUAGCUAGUAGGUGAGGUAACGGCUCACCUAGGCGACGAUACAUAGCCGACCUGAGAGGGUGAUCGGCCACACUGGGACUGAGACACGGCCCAGACUCCUACGGGAGGCAGCAGUAGGGAAUCUUCGGCAAUGGGGGCAACCCUGACCGAGCAACGCCGCGUGAGUGAAGAAGGUUUUCGGAUCGUAAAGCUCUGUUGUAAGUCAAGAACGAGUGUGAGAGUGGAAAGUUCACACUGUGACGGUAGCUUACCAGAAAGGGACGGCUAACUACGUGCCAGCAGCCGCGGUAAUACGUAGGUCCCGAGCGUUGUCCGGAUUUAUUGGGCGUAAAGCGAGCGCAGGCGGUUUGAUAAGUCUGAAGUUAAAGGCUGUGGCUCAACCAUAGUUCGCUUUGGAAACUGUCAAACUUGAGUGCAGAAGGGGAGAGUGGAAUUCCAUGUGUAGCGGUGAAAUGCGUAGAUAUAUGGAGGAACACCGGUGGCGAAAGCGGCUCUCUGGUCUGUAACUGACGCUGAGGCUCGAAAGCGUGGGGAGCGAACAGGAUUAGAUACCCUGGUAGUCCACGCCGUAAACGAUGAGUGCUAGGUGUUGGAUCCUUUCCGGGAUUCAGUGCCGCAGCUAACGCAUUAAGCACUCCGCCUGGGGAGUACGACCGCAAGGUUGAAACUCAAAGGAAUUGACGGGGGCCCGCACAAGCGGUGGAGCAUGUGGUUUAAUUCGAAGCAACGCGAAGAACCUUACCAGGUCUUGACAUCCCGAUGCUAUUUCUAGAGAUAGAAAGUUACUUCGGUACAUCGGUGACAGGUGGUGCAUGGUUGUCGUCAGCUCGUGUCGUGAGAUGUUGGGUUAAGUCCCGCAACGAGCGCAACCCCUAUUGUUAGUUGCCAUCAUUCAGUUGGGCACUCUAGCGAGACUGCCGGUAAUAAACCGGAGGAAGGUGGGGAUGACGUCAAAUCAUCAUGCCCCUUAUGACCUGGGCUACACACGUGCUACAAUGGUUGGUACAACGAGUUGCGAGUCGGUGACGGCAAGCUAAUCUCUUAAAGCCAAUCUCAGUUCGGAUUGUAGGCUGCAACUCGCCUACAUGAAGUCGGAAUCGCUAGUAAUCGCGGAUCAGCACGCCGCGGUGAAUACGUUCCCGGGCCUUGUACACACCGCCCGUCACACCACGAGAGUUUGUAACACCCGAAGUCGGUGAGGUAACCUUUUGGAGCCAGCCGCCUAAGGUGGG